This 779-nucleotide ribosomal RNA is filed under the name uncultured Neocallimastigales. RNAcentral's name for it is "partial large subunit ribosomal RNA". It matches the Rfam family "Eukaryotic large subunit ribosomal RNA", at positions 24 to 643 of the family's 3401-position model. The record is from RNAcentral. Lineage: Eukaryota; Fungi; Neocallimastigomycota; Neocallimastigomycetes; Neocallimastigales.
CAUCACUACGCUAGAUGCAUAUCAAUAAGCGGAGGAAAAGAAACUAACAAGGAUUCCCCUAGUAACGGCGAGUGAAGCGGGAAGAGCUCAAAUUUGAAAUCUUCAAGGGUUUCCCUUUACGAAUUGUAGUUUAAAGAAGUGUUUUCUGUUAGAGAGUUCGGUAAAAGUUCUUUGGAAUAGGACAUCAUAGAGGGUGAGAAUCCCGUAUUUGACGUCACUUUCUACUAGCUGUUGUGAUACACUUUCAAAGAGUCGGAUUGUUUGGGAAUGCAGUCCAAAAUGGGUGGUAAAUUUCAUCUAAAGCUAAAUAUUGGCGAGAGACCGAUAGCGAACAAGUACCGUGAGGGAAAGAUGAAAAGAACUUUGAAAAGAGAGUUAAACAGUACGUGAAAUUGUCAAAAGGGAAGCGUUUGACACCAGUGUUGUUUUCUCGAAAAUCAAUUAAAAUGGCCGGAUUUUAGUGUGUCAUGACCUUAUAAGCUUUUCUGCAUUUUUUCUUAUCUUUCUUAAUGCACUUUUCGUUAACAAGUCAACAUCAAUUUCUUUUGUUGUAAAAGAGUUAAUAGGAAGGUGGCUUUACUUUCGGAGUAAAGUGUUUAUAGCCUUUAGCUCUGCAAUCGGAGAGAUUGAGGUCUGCAGCGUAGAUCCUUCGGGGCUAGAUACAUUUGUGCUAAGUUAUAGCCUUUCAUAGACAACUUGUUGACUAUGAUUAGUCAUUGUAGCUUACUCGCUAUGCCUAUUUUACCUACGCUUAGGAUGUUGACACACGCGCGUGCUCG